RNAcentral lists this ribosomal RNA (271 nucleotides) under uncultured bacterium. RNAcentral describes it as "partial 16S ribosomal RNA". It matches the Rfam family "Bacterial small subunit ribosomal RNA", at positions 608 to 879 of the family's 1533-position model. The record is from RNAcentral.
CUCAACCUGGGAAUGGCGAUGGUGACUGCAAGGCUAGAGUUUGGCAGAGGGGGGUAGAAUUCCACGUGUAGCAGUGAAAUGCGUAGAUAUGUGGAGGAACACCGAUGGCGAAGGCAGCCCCCUGGGUCAAAACUGACGCUCAUGCACGAAAGCGUGGGGAGCAAACAGGAUUAGAUACCCUGGUAGUCCACGCCCUAAACGAUGUCUACUAGUUGUCGGGUCUUAAUUGACUUGGUAACGCAGCUAACGCGUGAAGUAGACCGCCUGGGGA